CCUACGGGAGGCAGCAGUGAGGAAUAUUGGUCAAUGGGCGUAAGCCUGAACCAGCCAAGUCGCGUGAGGGAUGACGGUCCUACGGGUCGUAAACCUCUUUUAUAAGGGAAUAAAGUGAGGGACGUGUGCCUUUUUGUAUGUACUUUAUGAAUAAGGAUCGGCUAACUCCGUGCCAGCAGCCGCGGUAAUACGGAGGAUCCGAGCGUUAUCCGGAUUUAUUGGGUUUAAAGGGUGCGUAGAUGGGCUGUUAAGUCAGUUGUGAAAGUUUGGGGCUCAACCAUAAAAUUGCAGUUGAUACUGGGGGGCUUGAGUACAGUUGAGGCAGGCGGAAUGCGUGGUGUAGCGGUGAAAUGCUUAGAUAUCACGCAGAACCCCGAUUGCGAAGGCAGCCUACCAAGCCAUGACUGACGCUGAUGCACGAAAGUGUGGGGAUCAAACAGGAUUAGAUACCCUGGUAGUC
This 460-nucleotide ribosomal RNA is filed under the name uncultured bacterium. RNAcentral's name for it is "partial 16S ribosomal RNA". It matches the Rfam family "Bacterial small subunit ribosomal RNA", at positions 338 to 795 of the family's 1533-position model. The record is from RNAcentral.